This 241-nucleotide ribosomal RNA is filed under the name uncultured bacterium. Its description in RNAcentral is "partial 16S ribosomal RNA". It matches the Rfam family "Bacterial small subunit ribosomal RNA", at positions 15 to 245 of the family's 1533-position model. The record is from RNAcentral.
GAUCAUGGCUCAGGAUGAACGCUAGCUACAGGCUUAACACAUGCAAGUCGAGGGGAAACGACAUCGAAAGCUUGCUUUUGAUGGGCGUCGACCGGCGCACGGGUGAGUAACGCGUAUCCAACCUGCCUACCACUUGGGGAUAACCUUGCGAAAGUAAGACUAAUACCCAAUGACAUCCCACGAAGACAUCUGAAUGGGAUUAAAGAUUUAUCGGUGAUGGAUGGGGAUGCGUUCCAUUAGG